Molecule: non-coding RNA, 29 nt
Filed under: Macaca fascicularis (crab-eating macaque)
Lineage: Eukaryota; Metazoa; Chordata; Mammalia; Primates; Cercopithecidae
Also listed under: 1 other name
Source: RNAcentral
UCCAGAUUGGGCUGGGAGUAUGGCAGGAU